AGUGAACGCUGGCGGUAGGCCUAACACAUGCAAGUCGAACGGCAGCACAGUAAGAGCUUGCUCUUACGGGUGGCGAGUGGCGGACGGGUGAGGAAUACAUCGGAAUCUACUUUUUCGUGGGGAUAACGUAGGGAAACUUACGCUAAUACCGCAUACGACCUACGGGUGAAAGCCGGGGAUCUUCGGACCUUGCGCGAUUGAAUGAGCCGAUGUCGGAUUAGCUAGUUGGCGGGGUAAAGGCCCACCAAGGCGACGAUCCGUAGCUGGUCUGAGAGGAUGAUCAGCCACACUGGAACUGAGACACGGUCCAGACUCCUACGGGAGGCAGCAGUGGGGAAUAUUGGACAAUGGGCGCAAGCCUGAUCCAGCCAUACCGCGUGGGUGAAGAAGGCCUUCGGGUUGUAAAGCCCUUUUGUUGGGAAAGAAAGGCAGCAGGUUAAUACCCCGCUGUUCUGACGGUACCCAAAGAAUAAGCACCGGCUAACUUCGUG
RNAcentral lists this ribosomal RNA (491 nucleotides) under uncultured bacterium. Its description in RNAcentral is "partial 16S ribosomal RNA". It matches the Rfam family "Bacterial small subunit ribosomal RNA", at positions 29 to 507 of the family's 1533-position model. The record is from RNAcentral.